GACGAACGCUGGCGGCGUGCUUAACACAUGCCAGUCGAACGGGAGUAUUGAAGAAGCUUGCUUUAGAGAUACUUUAGUGGCGGACGGGUGAGUAACGCGUGAGGAGCUGUCCGAUGCAGGGGGACAACAGUUGGAAACGACUGCUACUACCCCAUAAGCCGCGAGGGAAAAGGAUUUAUCCGGCAAUGGAGGUGCUCGCGUCCUAUCAGCUAGUAGGUGAGGUAACGGCUCACCUAGGCGAAGACGGGUAGCCGGCCUGAGAGGGCGAACGGCCACACUGGAACUGAGAUACGGGCCAGACUCCUACGGGAGGCAGCAGUGGGGAAUAUUGGGCAAUGGGGGGAACCCUGACCCAGCGACGCCGCGUGGGUGAAGAAAUCCUUCGGGAUGUAAAGCCCUGUUGUAUGGGAAGAGCGGAAGACGGUACCAUACGAGGAAGCCCCGGCAAACUACGUGCCAGCCGCCGCUGUAA
This 472-nucleotide ribosomal RNA is filed under the name uncultured bacterium. Its description in RNAcentral is "partial 16S ribosomal RNA". It matches the Rfam family "Bacterial small subunit ribosomal RNA", at positions 28 to 523 of the family's 1533-position model. The record is from RNAcentral.